UCCAGCAUCGUCUAGUGGCUAGGAUGUCUGGCUUUCACCCAGAAGGCCCGGGUUCGAUUCCCGGCGUUGGAA
RNAcentral lists this transfer RNA (72 nucleotides) under Rhipicephalus microplus (southern cattle tick). RNAcentral describes it as "tRNA-Glu". It matches the Rfam family "tRNA". Rfam says of the family: Transfer RNA (tRNA) molecules are approximately 80 nucleotides in length. Lineage: Eukaryota; Metazoa; Arthropoda; Arachnida; Ixodida; Ixodidae. The record is from Rfam by way of RNAcentral.